GACGAACGCUGGCGGUGUGCUUAACACAUGCAAGUCGAACGGUAAGGCCCUUUCGGGGGUACACGAGUGGCGAACGGGUGAGUAACACGUGAGUAACCUGCCCUCAUCUCUGGGAUAACAGUCGGAAACGGUUGCUAAUACUGGAUAUGAGCUUGCAAGGCAUCUUGUGGGUUGGAAAGAUUUUUUUUGGUUGGGGAUGGGCUCGCGGCCUAUCAGCUUGUUGGUGAGGUAGUGGCUCACCAAGGCUUCGACGGGUAGCCGGCCUGAGAGGGCGACCGGCCACAUUGGGACUGAGAUACGGCCCAAACUCCUACAGGAGGCAGCAGUGGGGAAUAUUGCACAAUGGACGGAAGUCUGAUGCAGCAACGCCGCGUGCGGGAUGACGGCCUUCGGGUUGUAAACCGCUUUCAAUUGUGACGAAGCUUUUUUGUGACGGUAGCAGUAGAAGAAGCACCGGCUAACUACGUG
This 468-nucleotide ribosomal RNA is filed under the name uncultured bacterium. RNAcentral describes it as "partial 16S ribosomal RNA". It matches the Rfam family "Bacterial small subunit ribosomal RNA", at positions 28 to 507 of the family's 1533-position model. The record is from RNAcentral.